Molecule: long non-coding RNA, 319 nt
Filed under: Elaeis guineensis (African oil palm)
Lineage: Eukaryota; Viridiplantae; Streptophyta; Magnoliopsida; Arecales; Arecaceae
Description: long non-coding RNA (EGUI_LNC067892)
Source: RNAcentral
CAUGCACAAAGAAGCCAACGCCUCUCCCUUCUCAUGCCAAGAGUGGAUAAAGAUUGGUUGGUUGGCAUUUGAAUUCAAGUGAGCAACCACCUAUCUUUAUCAUCUCACGUGGUGAAAAUGCUAAAAAGAUACAUCUUGCACUAUUUUAAAAAGGAAGAGAAGAUGGGGCAUGCGCACAUCUGAUUCAAGUGAGAGAAGGGUGGUGUGAGAAAGCUUUUCUGCAUAAGAAAAGAAAAGAAAAGAAAGAGUGGGCGCAAGAUUUUUCUUGUGUACCCUAGGAUUUCUGCCUAGGGUUUGGGAAUUGAGAAAGUGAGCUACG